AUGAGUGCAAAUGAGACAACUCUCCAUCCAAGUCACAUUUUACUCCAUAUGACAUUGUAUGGAGUGUAACGAAAUCAGUUUUCUUGUAUUUUCUUAUUUGACUGUGAUAACAUUCAACUCUAAAUAGAUAUAGGAAGAUGUGGUAUGAGUGUCAAUGAGACAACUCUCCAUCCAGAUAACAAUUUAUAAAAGUAAACCGUUUACUAAGCAAACACUGAGCUAGAAUUUAAAAAAAAAAAGGAACACGAUUUCUCUUUUCCGCCGGAGUGAUCUGUGCUUAUCAAAUAAAACAAUCAAUGUUUUGAAGGACUGAAUCCUAUCAAUAUGUCCUUGUUUUAAUCCGAUUACAUUUAUAUAACCCGGUCAAUACAGAUGAUAACAUCACGUUACAUUCUGAACUUGGUGACCCUUAGGUAUUAAAUAAAUGUCACAUGAUUAUCAAUAUGUUAGUACAAAACACGACCUUACAUUAGUCCAUCUGUUGACAUCGAAGAAAGAGUAAAUAACGGUUAUGAGUAAAUAACGGUAUAACCAAUCAUAUUGUCCUACCGUGGCAAACAGACGGACGGACAUCGUAUCAGAUAUUGAAUGGUUGAGAAGUCAAUAACGCAAUGAUGAGCAGAUAGACAUGCACUAUUUUUUUUUUUUUUUUUUUUAUUUUGGCUAUAAGAUCUCGAUGCUUUCUUAAUCAAUCCGCAAUCAUUGCUUGAGGGUCUGCAUAUAGAUGGGCUUUACAGAAAAGAAAAUACUUGUAAAAGAAAAAUGCUGAAAAAUGCAAACAAAUAUAAAGAAGAGAACAAAUAUGCCGACAUAUCAACAACAAAGAAUAAUGGGGGCCGGCUAAGGUACCUACAAACAAUAGAAAAUAUGGCACUAUUUCAAAUAAAGACGCUCUUGAAUGUAACCAACCAUUCAUCUGGUGGAUAAAACAUAUGAUAUUAAUAAUAAAAUGGUUAAUUUUGAAGAAAAGACAGUACAAGAAAUGGGGAUAAAAACGACUUAUAUGGAGGAAAAGACAGUACAAUAAAUGGGGAUAAAAACGACUAGUAUGACUGAGGAAAGACGGUGCAAGAAAGGGAACAAAAAACGAAUAAUAUUAGAAGAAAAGACAGUGGAAAAAAUGCACUUGGACAGCACAUUAAUUGAAGAAGGAAAAACAGAGAGAAAUUUAAGACAUACAUAAAAAAAACAGUACAUAAUUAUAUAUGUACUCGUUGAAAAGUAAGGGUCGCAACAAAAUCUGAAGAGAACAUAGACCCAUGAUUUGUAUAAACGAGAAAACUAACAUGCACGCGUUCCAACAUCAAUCCAAAUUCCGAUAGCAAAAAAAAAAAUCUUAUUUAUUACUAUAGCUAUAAAAUGCUAAAAUGUUUAAAUUUAUGAAUGUAUCGGCAUUGAAUUUCGUUGCAGGUGCUUCAACAUAUGUUCCAAUGUUGUUGUUGGAAAGGGUGUAACUAGAUUUACA
Molecule: long non-coding RNA, 1465 nt
Filed under: Mytilus galloprovincialis (Mediterranean mussel)
Lineage: Eukaryota; Metazoa; Mollusca; Bivalvia; Mytilida; Mytilidae
Source: RNAcentral